AUGGCCUACCGCCUUGGUGAUCCCUCCCGUCGCCCGGCGCCCGGCGCCACGUUUUCCGUGUGCUCCCAGGCCAUCGAGGAUGCCGCCCGCCACCUUAGGGGCACGGCGGUGGUGGUCACGCUUUCGGAGCCGCGGCAAGACAUCAAUCCGCAGCUCGUCGCCAAGGCCAUCGAGCAUGACCUGGCCAUUCCCUGGGACCAGAUGCAUGUGUCUAGGCAUCACCCCGAAGACUUCCUCAUCCGGUUCGCGCAGCCUCGUCACCAGACUGUUGCAGUCGACGCCGGCGUUGCCACCUGUCGGGGCAUUGCGCUCAGCAUCGCGCCCUGGAGGCCAGCGGCCGGCGGCAACAAGCGCGCCUGGCGGUUCUACUGCCGGAUCGCGCUCGAGAACCUCCCUGUCCAAGCGUGGCGCCGCGAGGUCGUCCAGGACGUCGUCGGCCUGGCAUGCUGGGUCGACAGGCUGGAGCGACAGACCUCCUCCCUGUCCAACACCGCUGCUGCCUAUGCCUGGGUCUGGGCUUGGAGCCCUGACGACAUCCCACUGGGUAGCGGCCACUCCUUCCUGGACCGCGCCCCCGAUGGCCGUUCCGCGCUCCCCGAAGGCACGCCGUGGGAGGAGGCCCUACACGGCCCUCAGUUCCCCGUCAUCAUCCACCUGGACACGAUCAAGGACUACACCCCCUCUCCGAUCGUGCGCCCGGGGCCAGCCACGAGUGGCCACUCGUGGAGCACCUCCCCUGGACGCGUUUCUUCCAGGACGGGACGGUGGCGCCUGCGCCGCGCUGACGAUCUCGUCAGGAUCACCCACGCUCUCGCCCGAGGCCUCGGGGCGACGAUGAUGAAGACGACGAUGUGGGUGACCGUGGACGGCAGCGCCGGGACGGGUCACGUUCCUCCUGGCGUGGCGGCCUCCUGGGCUGCCGUUCGGACGGCGCUGUUCGCGGCGCUCCCGUCGGUGGGCGCCGUCAGCAUGGCUCCUCCUCCCGUCAUGGACGUCAUCACGCUGUGA
This 1008-nucleotide ribosomal RNA is filed under the name Triticum aestivum (bread wheat). Its description in RNAcentral is "partial small subunit ribosomal RNA". The record is from RNAcentral. Lineage: Eukaryota; Viridiplantae; Streptophyta; Magnoliopsida; Poales; Poaceae.